GCCUACGGGGGGCAGCAGUGGGGAAUAUUGCGCAAUGGACGAAAGCCUGACGCAGCGACGCCGCGUGAGGGAUGAAGGUCUUCGGAUCGUAAACCUCUGUCAGCAGGGAAGAACGGUCACUGUGCUAAUCAGCAGUGAAUUGACGGUACCUGCAAAGGAAGCACCGGCUAACUCCGUGCCAGCAGCCGCGGUAAUACGGAGGGUGCGAGCGUUAAUCGGAAUUACUGGGCGUAAAGCGCUCGUAGGCGGUAUGUCAAGUCAAGGGUGAAAGCCCGGGGCUCAACCGCGGGACUGCUUUUGAAACU
This 305-nucleotide ribosomal RNA is filed under the name uncultured bacterium. RNAcentral's name for it is "bacterial SSU rRNA". It matches the Rfam family "Bacterial small subunit ribosomal RNA", at positions 337 to 634 of the family's 1533-position model. The record is from RNAcentral.